UUAUUAUUAUUAUUAUUAUUAUUAUUCAUAACAAGAAAUAUAACAGAAUAAGGUGGACAAGAAAAUAUAGCAAGAUAAGGUGAUGUCACUGACAGUCCCAGGUAUGUAUGAGUAUCAAUUGGAGUCACACUUUGAGCACUACUGCCGAAUGAAUGGAGGGCAAAGAUUAGCAUUUGUACCUGUAGUAGCAGGUGGAGAGAGAGCCUGUCAUAUUCACUACACUACAAAUGAACUCAAAUUAAAUGAAGGAGAGUUA
Molecule: long non-coding RNA, 256 nt
Organism: Amphimedon queenslandica
Lineage: Eukaryota; Metazoa; Porifera; Demospongiae; Haplosclerida; Niphatidae
Exons: 3
Source: RefSeq, a predicted model, not a curated record